Molecule: unclassified non-coding RNA, 185 nt
Filed under: Papiliotrema flavescens
Lineage: Eukaryota; Fungi; Basidiomycota; Tremellomycetes; Tremellales; Rhynchogastremaceae
Description: partial internal transcribed spacer region
Rfam family: Eukaryotic small subunit ribosomal RNA (bases 1-46)
Source: RNAcentral
AAGUCGUAACAAGGUUUCCGUAGGUGAACCUGCGGAAGGAUCAUUAUUGAUUGGUCGAAAGACCUUAUCAGAUUCUACCACCUCUGUGAACCGUUGACCUCCGGGUUAAUAAUUAAACAUCAGUGUAACGAACGUAAGAGUAUCUUAAUUAAACAAAACUUUUAACAACGGAUCUCUUGGCUCUC